This 506-nucleotide ribosomal RNA is filed under the name uncultured bacterium. Its description in RNAcentral is "partial 16S ribosomal RNA". It matches the Rfam family "Bacterial small subunit ribosomal RNA", at positions 29 to 523 of the family's 1533-position model. The record is from RNAcentral.
AGUGAACGCUGGCGGUAGGCCUAACACAUGCAAGUCGAACGGCAGCACAGAGGAGCUUGCUCCUUGGGUGGCGAGUGGCGGACGGGUGAGGAAUACAUCGGAAUCUACUCUGUCGUGGGGGAUAACGUAGGGAAACUUACGCUAAUACCGCAUACGACCUACGGGUGAAAGCAGGGGAUCUUCGGACCUUGCGCGAUUGAAUGAGCCGAUGUCGGAUUAGCUAGUUGGCGGGGUAAAGGCCCACCAAGGCGACGAUCCGUAGCUGGUCUGAGAGGAUGAUCAGCCACACUGGAACUGAGACACGGUCCAGACUCCGACGGGAGGCAGCAGUGGGAAAUAUUGGACAAUGGGCGCAAGCCUGAUCCAGCCAUACCGCGUGGGUGAAGAAGGCCUUCGGGUUGUAAAGCCCUUUUGUUGGGAAAGAAAUCCAUCUGGUUAAUACCCGGGUGGGAUGACGGUACCCAAAGAAUAAGCACCGGCUAACUUCGUGCCAGCAGCCGCCGUAA